This 646-nucleotide ribosomal RNA is filed under the name uncultured Bacteroidota bacterium. RNAcentral describes it as "bacterial SSU rRNA". It matches the Rfam family "Bacterial small subunit ribosomal RNA", at positions 8 to 653 of the family's 1533-position model. Lineage: Bacteria; Pseudomonadati; Bacteroidota. The record is from RNAcentral.
AGAGUUUGAUCCUGGCUCAGGACGAACGCUGGCGGCGGGCCUAACACAUGCAAGUCGAACGAGAAGCUCCAGCUUGCUGGAGUGGAAAGUGGCGAACGGGUGCGUAACGCGUAGGCAACCUGCCCUCAGAUGGGGAAUAACCACUCGAAAGAGUGGCUAAUACCGCAUGACGUCUCUUGGUCGCAUGACCGGGAGAUUAAAACUCUGGUGUCUGAGGAUGGGCCUGCGUUGGAUUAGGUAGUUGGUGGGGUAACGGCCUACCAAGCCUACGAUCCAUAGCUGGUCUGAGAGGAUGAUCAGCCACACUGGCACUGAGACACGGGCCAGACUCCUACGGGAGGCAGCAGUGAGGAAUAUUGCGCAAUGGGCGAAAGCCUGACGCAGCCACGCCGCGUGAAGGAAGACACCCCUACGGGGCGUAAACUUCUUUUAUGUGAGAAGAAGACCCUGGUCGCCAGGGCUUGACGGUAUCACAUGAAUAAGCACCGGCUAACUCCGUGCCAGCAGCCGCGGUAAUACGGAGGGUGCAAGCGUUGUCCGGAAUCACUGGGUGUAAAGGGUGUGUAGGCGGGACAGCAAGUCAGANGUGAAAUCCCACGGCUUAACCGUGGAACUGCCUUUGAAACUGCUGUUCUUGAGUAUCGGA